Non-coding RNA from Macaca mulatta (Rhesus monkey), 1144 nucleotides. NCBI's taxonomy places the organism in Eukaryota, Metazoa, Chordata, Mammalia, Primates, Cercopithecidae. The record is from RefSeq and is a predicted model, not a curated record.
AACUUCUGUACUCAAGUGAUCUGCCCACCUCAACCUCCCAAAGUGUUGGGAUUACAGGUGUGGGCCACCACAUCCAGGCUUCAAUUACUUGUUUCACUCAGUGUUCAUCUAAGGAAACAGAACUACUAUGAAGUAAUGCGUUCUCAGGUCAGAGACUAUGAAAGUCCCUGCCCUCAGGGAGUACUCAGACUGGUGAACAACAGACAAGGUGACCAGCAAUUCCAGGAUGGUAUGGAUUUGCUGUAUAAAGAAUGAUGACUUCACCAGGCCACCUUACUUCCAUAAAAGCUUGUGAUGCUCACAGACUGUCAAGCAGGAAUGUGCUGGGUAUUCUAGUCUUAAAGAAGGUGUAGGAGACAUGUACAUGUCUGGCCAGAGAUUGUCAAAGACUCUCAGAGUCUUUGGCCAACACUGACUCUGAGAGCCUCAAAUAAGUGAUGAAUCAAGUAGAAAGAAAUUGGGAGGACACAAGAAAGAGCUCGUCGGGGGCCACAGGCAGCUAAUGCAGCCAGUGACAGAAUAGAGGAAAUGCAGCAUAACCCCCAACUCCAGGAUCUAGGGCCUAAAGGCCAGAGCCACUCCCUGUAAUCAUGCAGAACUCGCCCACCUUCUCUGUAAGAGGGUUGCUGGGUCCUUCAGACUCGCCCCUGCUUCCGCCUGCCCCACCCUCACAUCCUGGGACUGCACCGCACUUCCACUAAUCCGAACCCUCCUGCCCUCCCAGAGUCUUGAACCGCUGCUUCUGAGCUCCAUGUAGCUGGUGAAAGGAGGCUGCCUUGGGCUCUUUGGGGGCCUCCUGUCUUCAGUGAUGAUUCUCUGCAGCUCAGCUCCUCUCCCCAUGUAACUGAUCCCAGUCCUCUGGUUCUGUCAGCACCUCUGCUGUGUACACUAUGACAUGUGUGAGUUCCCAGCUGGGUGGGAACCCUGAGUGAGGUGUGAGUUUCCUCCCAAGCCACUGAAGUUGGCUUUCUGCAGUAAGCCAGACACUUGGGCUCUGCUGGUCUUAGAAACAGUGUUUUCACUACAUGGUCAGGGAGAAGGGAUCCCCUAAGUCUUCAAAUUGAUCUCUCUGCUCCCCCAUCUUUUCCCACCUCAAUUCUGCUUGUACCCAUGGAAUUACUAUACAUUAAAACAUAAUGCUAAA